This 440-nucleotide ribosomal RNA is filed under the name uncultured bacterium. RNAcentral's name for it is "partial 16S ribosomal RNA". It matches the Rfam family "Bacterial small subunit ribosomal RNA", at positions 338 to 795 of the family's 1533-position model. The record is from RNAcentral.
CCUAAGGGCGGCAGCAGUGGGGAAUAUUGGGCAAUGGGCGCAAGCCUGACCCAGCAACGCCGCGUGGGUGAAGAAGCGCCUCGGCGCGUAAAGCCCUGUCAGCAGGGAAGAAAAUGACGGUACCUGAAGAAGAAGCCCCGGCUAACUACGUGCCAGCAGCCGCGGUAAUACGUAGGGGGCAAGCGUUAUCCGGAUUUACUGGGUGUAAAGGGGGCGCAGACGGCGAUGCAAGCCAGGAGUGAAAGCCCGGGGCCCAACCCCGGGACUGCUCUUGGAACUGCGUGGCUGGAGUGCAGGAGGGGCAGGCGGAAUUCCUAGUGUAGCGGUGAAAUGCGUAGAUAUUAGGAGGAACACCAGUUGCGAAGGCGGCUCUCUGGACUGUAACUGACACUGAGGCACGAAAGCGUGGGGAGCAAACAGGAUUAGAUACCCGGGUAGUC